CUAAUGUUCAAUGCUGCUCCCCUGGUUUCACGGGCUGUGUGUCUGUGAGAGAGCUCGCCCGAAGCUGUCUCCAUUCUGAAUAAAGCUGUUGAGAGGAAUGUGUGCUGGUGUUUGCUCCCUGCUUGCUCUGUCUAAUGAGUACCAGGAUCCAUGAGCAAUUGGACCGUCGUCUCCCUAGUCACUGAGUGCCGCAUGGAGUCGGGGUCUAACAAGGGCCUAGAGAUCUUCUGGACUGCAUGAACCUGAUCUCAUCUGGAAGCUAAGAGCCUUAACAACUCUGGGGCCUGAGAACCGAACAGAGCCCACGGAGCUUUGACAACUCGGUGGAAAAGAAUUGCCGAACCUGCGGAGCCUUACAACUCCGGGGCCAAAGAACCGAAUUUGUCAUAGUCCUCCAACGAGGAUUUAAGUGGAGCUGCACCUGGAAACUGUCCAGCCUACACCGCGACCAUCUUGGGUCUUCCUGUACCCACAGCUGCAUGGCAGAGCAUGGGGUAUGGGGCCCCAGGCCAAGAGGACAGCAUGGGCCCAUCCUGAUUUCCUGCGGUGCCAGGAAACAUGAAGUCAGACGUAUGCCACAAAAAACAGCUGGCUCUGUGAUUUUGGCAGACUUGCUCUAUUAAUCUCCCAUAAGGAGAUCAUUCUCCCACUUUCCUGACAUAUUCCAUGUGGCUGGUCAACAGCAUCUGAAGUGGUCAGUUCAUCUCCAUGGGAAGGAUGGACAAAUAGGCAAUGCAUGAUUUGGACAAAACAUUAACUGUACUUAGACAAUGCUCAACUCUGAACUGAACAUGUACCAUAUUAACAGAGUCCAUGUUGACUAUAGCAGCCUAUUUGAAGGUGGGAUAUGCUUUUUCAUAGGUGCUUUUACAUAUGAAUCAGAAUGUGAUCUAGAAUGACAAGGCUUCUGGCUACAUACCAGCUAGGAGGCAGCUGACCUCCAUGAGACGCAGGAGCAAUCAUGUGUCUUUUGAAGAAGAUUAUCUAGAGCAGGGCUGUUCAACUUCUAAGCAGCCAGGGACCCCAUGCUGCAUGGUUCCCCAUUGCCUCCCCAUCGUGGGGGUUCUCAUACUAUGCAGACUCCCUGAAAUACCCUGCCAUAUUGGCUGUGAAGACUCCCUGGACUCACUUGGGCCACCCUGCCCCUGCAUCAGGAAGUGGAAUCUAGUGGCAUGAGGAGGAACCUGGAGACCCAAGUAACAGCAAAGGAGUUAGGGAAGAGGUGUCCAGGUGAAGAGCCCACUGGCCACAAGUUAAUGCUUCUCAGGCCUCAUGCAGCCAAUGGGCCAUGAGUCAGACAAAGCAUAUUGCAGGAAGAAAGGAGAUGUGAAAUAAAGAGUACAAAACCUUAUUCUGCAAAGCAAUGAGCAUCACUUGUAAGAGAACCAGCUCCCUCAUGAGAUCAUAUUCAUAACUUGCAAGCCUAAACAGAUGCAAGCACAUUGUUGGAGUGUUUGUAUGUCUGUCACAGCUGGACCAUAACAGAUGCUUAUAUUUCAGAAAUACUAAGAGAGUCAAAAUAAAAUUCAAAGCAUAUUAUGCAAACAUGAGAAGAAAGAGUUUUGAUCUGAUUAUACCUACACAAAAUUUAUUACAUGAUUUAACAAAAUUAAAAAUCUUCAAAUAGUAUAUUCUCAAUUAACUGAGCACUACUAAUUCCUGUUGACAGAGUAGAAAUUGAGGUUGUCCAAGAGCUUAGAGGUUUGGAAGCCAAAGAAGGAAUUGGCUUUAGGAAACUGCAAUUUGAGAUGAGAGAAUGGUUUCUUUGGAUUUUCAAUAUCCUUUCUGCCAACCUUCUGCGGCUGGAGAUCUACAGAAAGGGAUGACAGCAUGGCAUGGACUUCUGUUCACAUAUGGCAUGUUUAAUUCAAAGUUCAAUAAAAUCUGGUAUCAGACAAUGACAGAAGAACUUUAACUAUGGGAAGGACUGCAUUUUGGUAGGCAUUCAGUGGAGAGCAAGAAGGAAGAAGGAUUGCAGAAAAAAGGGUAUGAAAGUAUCUCAAAGCAGAAAAAUGUGCUUUCAUAGCCUGUGGUGUCUAUUAUCAAAACUGUAUUACCAUUAAAUCCAAGAGGCUAUUGUUGCCAGUGUGAUUUGCAGUCUACUACUAGUCCCAAAAGCUGGAAGAAGCCUGCAUAAAGCAUCCAACAGUGCCUGUUUCUCCACCCACUCCGAUACCUGACUCCUAUCACCUUACCCUCCACUCUCUUAUAUAAGCUCAGGGAGAGGAACACGACAUGUCGAGGCA
Molecule: long non-coding RNA, 2246 nt
Organism: Alligator mississippiensis (American alligator)
Lineage: Eukaryota; Metazoa; Chordata; Crocodylia; Alligatoridae
Exons: 5
Source: RefSeq, a predicted model, not a curated record